RNAcentral lists this ribosomal RNA (359 nucleotides) under fungal sp. OMLIsolate3. RNAcentral's name for it is "partial 18S ribosomal RNA". The stretch from base 112 to 265 matches the Rfam family "5.8S ribosomal RNA". The record is from RNAcentral. Lineage: Eukaryota; Fungi.
CGCUGGCCGGCCUCCUCACCGAGGCCCCCUGGAGACAGGGAGCANNCCGNCGGCGGCCAAACAAACUCUUGUUUCUUAGUGAAUCUCUGAGUAAAAAACAUAAUGAAUCAAAACUUUCAACAACGGAUCUCUUGGUUCUGGCAUCGAUGAAGAACGCAGCGAAAUGCGAUAAGUAAUGUGAAUUGCAGAAUUCAGUGAAUCAUCGAAUCUUUGAACGCACAUUGCGCCCUCUGGUAUUCCGGAGGGCAUGCCUGUUCGAGCGUCAUUUCAACCCUCAAGCCUGGCUUGGUGUUGGGGCACCGCCUUUGCAAAAGGGCGGGCCCUGAAAUCUAGUGGCGAGCUCGCCAGGACCCCGAGCG